AUAAGUGACACCUGCCCAAUGAUGAAUGAAUGGCCGCAGUAUCCUGACUGUGCUAAGGUAGCAUAAUCACUUGUCUCCUAAUUAGAGGCUGGAAUGAAUGGAUACACGAGAGAAGAACUUUCUUAAUUGAAAAUUGAAAACUUAUCCUAAAAGUUAAAAGACUUUUAAAUCUUAGAGGGACGACAAGACCCUAUAAAACUUUACCCCCUUCGGAAUUUAAACUCAAGAGAUUUAAUACCCCGUAUGAGGUUUUGCUGGGGCGGCAAACUUUAAACCCUAACAUAGUUUAAUAUAACUUUCAAAAGAAUUCAUCAAACCCUUACGAAGGAAUAGGAACAAGUUACUUUAGGGAUAACAGCGUAAUAUCUUUUUAGAGCCCCUAUCGCCAAAGAUGUUUGCGACCUCGAUGUUGAAUUGAAGUACCUAUUUUAAGCAGCCUUAAAAUAAGGAAGUCUGUUCGACUUUUAAUCUUUCA
This 475-nucleotide ribosomal RNA is filed under the name Paridotea ungulata. Its description in RNAcentral is "partial 16S ribosomal RNA". It matches the Rfam family "Bacterial large subunit ribosomal RNA", at positions 1848 to 2598 of the family's 2925-position model. Lineage: Eukaryota; Metazoa; Arthropoda; Malacostraca; Isopoda; Idoteidae. The record is from RNAcentral.